Molecule: ribosomal RNA, 334 nt
Filed under: uncultured eukaryote
Lineage: Eukaryota
Description: partial 18S ribosomal RNA
Rfam family: Eukaryotic small subunit ribosomal RNA
Source: RNAcentral
CCCUUAGAUGUUCUGGGCCGCACGCGCGCUACACUGAAGGAAUCAGCGUGGCUUUCUCCCUGACCCGAAAGGGUUGGGAAACCCGUUGAAUCUCCUUCGUGAUAGGGAUUGGGGCUUGAAAUUGUUCCCCAUGAACGAGGAAUUCCCAGUAAGCGCGAGUCAUAAGCUCGCGUUGAUUACGUCCCUGCCCUUUGUACACACCGCCCGUCGCUACUACCGAUUGAACGGUUUAGUGAGGGCCUCGGAUUGGUCUCGGCCCGCUCUUUACCGGGCGGCGCCGUUGGUCGAGAAGACGCUCGAACUUGAUCGUUUAGAGGAAGUAAAAGUCGGAACA